This 297-nucleotide long non-coding RNA is filed under the name Mytilus galloprovincialis (Mediterranean mussel). Lineage: Eukaryota; Metazoa; Mollusca; Bivalvia; Mytilida; Mytilidae. The record is from RNAcentral.
CUUUCAUUAUAAACAUGUAUAACUAUAUUUUCGAAAUCAGCUUAGGUUAUUUUUUUAUAUGCCGCUUUUAAACAAACAUUUAAGUUUUCAUUUAAAAUUAUGUGAUUUACAUAUAAGAAGCUUGACUGCUUACCUAUAAAAAUAUAUUUUGUAAACGUAUCCUUUUAAACUACUAGAGUAAUUGACCCUGUGGGGAUUAUUGUUGAAGCCGUUACCGUCAAUUUAAUUUAUGAAUUGUCCUAUAUAUGUUUUGUAAUGUUUGGUUGUUGGGUUUGCUCUGGUAUCUUCUUUCCCCCG